This 73-nucleotide transfer RNA is filed under the name Canis lupus familiaris (dog). It matches the Rfam family "tRNA". Rfam says of the family: Transfer RNA (tRNA) molecules are approximately 80 nucleotides in length. The record is from Rfam by way of RNAcentral. Lineage: Eukaryota; Metazoa; Chordata; Mammalia; Carnivora; Canidae. RNAcentral also lists the same sequence under 1 other name.
ACAUGGCUGCCUCAGUCAGAAGAGCAUGAGACUCUUGAUCUCAGGGUUGUGAGUUCAAGUCCCUCGUCGGGUA